This 69-nucleotide transfer RNA is filed under the name Gaeana maculata. RNAcentral describes it as "tRNA-Arg". The record is from RNAcentral. Lineage: Eukaryota; Metazoa; Arthropoda; Insecta; Hemiptera; Cicadidae.
AAGUAAUGAAGUAAAAAAAUAUUACAUUUAGUUUCGACCUAUAAAUAAGAAUUAAUAAUUCCAUGCUUA